RNAcentral lists this ribosomal RNA (253 nucleotides) under uncultured bacterium. RNAcentral's name for it is "partial 16S ribosomal RNA". It matches the Rfam family "Bacterial small subunit ribosomal RNA", at positions 524 to 776 of the family's 1533-position model. The record is from RNAcentral.
UACGUAGGGUGCAAGCGUUGUCCGGAAUUAUUGGGCGUAAAGAGCUCGUAGGCGGUCUGUCGCGUCGGCUGUGAAAACUCGGGGCUCAACCCCGAGCCUGCAGUCGAUACGGGCAGACUAGAGUGCUGUAGGGGAGACUGGAAUUCCUGGUGUAGCGGUGAAAUGCGCAGAUAUCAGGAGGAACACCGGUGGCGAAGGCGGCCUUCUGGACAGUGACUGACGCUGAGACGCGAAAGCGUGGGGAGCAAACAGG